RNAcentral lists this ribosomal RNA (269 nucleotides) under uncultured prokaryote. RNAcentral describes it as "partial 16S ribosomal RNA". It matches the Rfam family "Bacterial small subunit ribosomal RNA", at positions 524 to 792 of the family's 1533-position model. The record is from RNAcentral.
CACGGAGGGUGCAAGCGUUGUUCGGAAUUACUGGGCGUAAAGGGCGUGUAGGCGGCUUGGUAAGUCUGAAGUGAAAUCCGUCGGCUCAACCGACGAACUGCUUCAGAUACUGCCUCGCUUGAGUACGGGAGAGGAAAGCGGAAUUCCCAGUGUAGAGGUGAAAUUCGUAGAUAUUGGGAAGAACACCGGUGGCGAAGGCGGCUUUCUGGACCGAUACUGACGCUGAGACGCGAAAGCGUGGGGAGCAAACAGGAUUAGAUACCCCCGUA